This 305-nucleotide ribosomal RNA is filed under the name uncultured bacterium. RNAcentral describes it as "bacterial SSU rRNA". It matches the Rfam family "Bacterial small subunit ribosomal RNA", at positions 337 to 659 of the family's 1533-position model. The record is from RNAcentral.
GCCUACGGGGCGCAGCAGUGGGGAAUAUUGCACAAUGGGGGGAACCCUGAUGCAGCGACGCCGCGUGGGUGAAGGAGUACUUCGGUACGUAAAGCCCUAUCAGCAGGAAAGAAAAUGACGGUACCUGACUAAGAAGCCCCGGCUAACUACGUGCCAGCAGCCGCGGUAAUACGUAGGGGGCAAGCGUCAUCCGGAUUUACUGGGUGUAAAGGGAGCGUAGACGGCAGCGCAAGUCUGAAGUGAAAUCCCAUGGCUUAACCAUGGAACUGCUUUGGAAACUGUGCAGCUGGAGUGCAGGAGAGGUA